Molecule: ribosomal RNA, 466 nt
Filed under: uncultured bacterium
Lineage: Bacteria
Description: partial 16S ribosomal RNA
Rfam family: Bacterial small subunit ribosomal RNA
Source: RNAcentral
GAUGAACGCUGGCGGCGUGCUUAACACAUGCGAGUCGAACGAUGAAGCCCAGCUUGCUGGGUGGAUUAGUGGCGAACGGGUGAGUAACACGUGAGUAACCUGCCCUUGACUCUGGGAUAAGCCUGGGAAACUGGGUCUAAUACUGGAUAUGACUUCUCAUCGCAUGGUGGGGGGUGGAAAGAUUUAUUGGUCUUGGAUGGACUCGCGGCCUAUCAGCUUGUUGGUGAGGUAAUGGCUCACCAAGGCGACGACGGGUAGCCGGCCUGAGAGGGUGACCGGCCACACUGGGGCUGAGACACGGCCCAGACUCCUACGGGAGGCAGCAGUGGGGAAUAUUGCACAAUGGGCGCAAGCCUGAUGCAGCGACGCCGCGUGAGGGAUGACGGCCUUCGGGUUGUAAACCUCUUUCAGUAGGGAAGAAGCGAGAGUGACGGUACCUGCAGAAGAAGCGCCGGCUAACUACGUG